This is a non-coding RNA of Xyrichtys novacula (pearly razorfish), 18289 nucleotides long. The record is from the annotation of a GenBank genome assembly. NCBI's taxonomy places the organism in Eukaryota, Metazoa, Chordata, Actinopteri, Labriformes, Labridae.
UCCUUUCAGCGCUCAAUCCCGGCGAGUGCAGGCAUCACUGAAGACCUGACACCGGCAGAAUCGGACGUCCACCGUCUCCGGCAGAACAAACCAGGUGUUAUCUCGUUUCCAAACUUUUAUCUCCAUCAAGAUGAAGCCGCGCGUCCUGUCGAUGAGAAGGCCUCUGCUUCGCCGGAGGAACAGACUUUUUUCCCCCCGUCUACAAACGAGCAGAGAGACGCAGGGGCGAGACAAUAACGCCCAGAAGUUAUGAAAAUGAAUCGUAAGUUGGCGAUGUUUGAUAUUUUUCGCUUUUAAUCUCUUCUCUUUCACCAGUUUUCCUUCAGGCAAUAGUUCUGACGGCUACAUCGUCUUUUUGCGGACGACUUUUCAAUGUAUGACUGCAUGUGUCAUUUUUGCGCCGUACGCUUUCUGUCAUUUCUCUUUAAAUUUUACGCAUAUAUUAUCCGUAUUAUUGUUACCAAACGCUUUCCACGCUUUGAUCGCUACACCUUCAAUGCUUGGCUGAUCCCUGAGUGGAUUUUGUGCUGUCGACAUUCUUUGUGUGGGUCGGUAAAUGCCCUCGUUGUGGAUGUGUGGCUGUGUAAGCGCAGCGCCAUAGCAUGAAAUAUAGAUAAAAAGCACACGGUAAACCCGCUGACCCCAGCCAGUCAGGCUGUGCAACCGGUCCACACGGCUCAAUGAGGACAAUUAGGGGGGGCAAGGGAGAGAGAGAGAGAGAGAGAGAAAGAGAGUGAGAGAGAGAGAAAAUGGAGUACUUGAAGCGCACUAAAGCAGGGCUGCACUUCACUUCAACCCGGCAGGCAGGAUAAGGGUGGAUCUUCAAUAACCUUAUGUGACAUUUCCAAUGCAGGAUGUGACUAAAAAUUAAGAAGAGAAGGAAAAUGUUGCUGAAGUUUGGCCCCCGGGUCAGGCUUGGAAAGAGAGGACAUAGUUAGACAGGAAUUCUUCUUGUGCAGAAAUGUUGUUCCACCAAAUUAUUUACGUUAAAUUCCAGAGAACUUGACACACACACACUUUGAGGUCAUGUCAAUCACUGAUCCCUUUUAUUGAUUGGAAAUUUAGGGAGAAGGGAGGGUUGAAGUUUUAUGUACAUAAGAGAGUCAAAGUUGAAAAUGUAUGCCCUCUGAUUUUCCAUGAUUUCUGCACAAUCAGAGGGAAAGACAGAGCGGGUGAGGGUGGAGGAGUGGUGAUGGUGGUGGGGGGAGAGACCGGGGCCAUUUGAUGUUUUGAAAGGCUUCAGAUGGCUUUAAUUAGGACCUAUAAAAUCUGUCUGCCCCGUUCUCUGAGGCGGUGCUCUGGAGAAGCAAGAAGGGAGGGAAGCUGACAAGAAAAAAACAAAACAAAAAAAAAUACAAAAGAAAAAGCAAACCAAUACAGAAAGUCACUUCAGCAAAGGAUUGUCUAAUCAAAAUUUUAUAAGCCUCCUUUUUUCUCUCCCUCGCACACUCCCCUCCUUGAUGCUGGUGGUAUGUAGGCAGCCCUCCUAUUCCCUCUUUGUCUGGCUGCUGUGUUAUCUACACCCCCCCCAUCCUCCCACCCCCCCUCAACCUAACUACCGCCUACAGUCGCCCGAGCCCAGACACCUGAACGCUAGACAUAAUGAUCAAGAGAAGUUCCUGUCUGUCUGGGGCACAGCCAGUUGUUGAAGCUUUUCUUCUUCUACUCAGUUUUUUUUGUACCCGUGCUGACCUGGCAGGCCCUCCCUUCGCCCGUGACUCUUGCUAUGAUGUUAGCGUGUGUCCGUGUGUGUAACUGGGUCGCAAGUUCUCUGCAACUGCUUCUGUUUCUUUGCCGCCGUAUUUCCUAUAUGGAUCUUUAAUGGAGUGUAGGUGACUCACACAGCUGCAUUACACACACACUCAUGAGGAAACAUCAAAGACUUCUUAUGCUCUUGUGUGCGUGUGUGUGUGUGUGUGUGUGGGUUUAAAGUGUGUGUCUCAGAGUGUGUGUGUGUGUGUGUGUGUGUGAGAGUGAGAUUUCAGCUGUUCUGGCGAAGCAUCUGCAAGAUUAUAGGUAUGGGGUUUUGCCCUGUAGUUAUUAUAUUUUUCAUGUUUGUUCAAAAAGCUGGUUUCUCCGCUGUGCUAGUUAACUAUCAUGAAGCGUUGUGUUGAGUGAACUGAAUCUUUUUUCCACUUCUAGGAGGCUUUAAAGCUGUUUUUAUUUCUGCGUUAUGAUGUAAGACCUGCUUUUUCUUGGAGUUCAAAAGAAUUUUAAUCCAAAAACCAAUAAUUUGCCAAUUAAAACAAACAAGUGUUGAAUCUUUUGAGUCCUGAGCAUAACCAUAAAAUAUAAUUCCAGCUUGAAGAUGGCUUUUGUCUCCUACUGGAGGUUUUGAUUGAGUCUGUCGCUUCUCUAAUCUUGAGGUGGGCGUCUUUGAGUCGGCCUAAUGCUGAAGUAGCGUCAGAAGUUAAGAAAAAGGAAUAAAAAGGAGUAAUUUUGAAGCCAGAGUUGGUAAAACGGCACAAUAUGUGCCUUCUCUGACAGACAAAUUCAUCUCCUGGAGUGUCUUCCCUUUGAGGAGUGCGUGUCUUUUGUUUGCUUGAUGUGUGUUGGUGAGGGAUUACAUCAUUUUGCUGCUGCUGGGUUAGCUAGAUAAUAAACUAGCUUGCUUGCCGGAAAAUAGCUGGUUGGAGUGAAGGCUUUGUUCAUGCGUUUGGUUGACAACACGGUGGAAAUCAGUACCGCUACAGUGGUGUAUGUUUGUUUUUCUGUCGCUAAUCCAAUGAGACGAAUCAUUUUGAUUUUGUAUUCUGGGUUGUUUUCGUCAGUGAUGUCCAUUUUUGAUAAACUUGUUUGUUUGGAGAUUAUCCCCUAACAGCUGGAAUAGGCUCCAUCUGAACCUUUAACCCUGUAAUCUGCUCAGAUACCAUGUUAUGGAGUUCAAGUGUUGGUAAAAUUUGCACAAGGCUUCAACCAAAAUCCUGUCUCUUGUUUGUGUGUGUUUUCUGGGAGCCCAUUCUGUGUAUCAUAGCAUCAAGGAGAUUGAGGAUGUCUCUUCCUCUGCCACCACCCUUUGAAGAGGGAAGUAAUAAAAAGCUCAAUGGGUGCAACAAGCUGUUCUGAGGCUUUCUACCUGGAGAUGAAUAGGAGGCCCCUCCAUAACGAAGGGGGAGAAGAGGACAUUUUAUUGGAGGCUGAGGAUGUGGGGGAUGCACCGUUGCUUAUAGACACUUGGUGUGAAAAAGUCUAGUUGUACCAGUUUACAGGAAAGUGCUGUCUACUGAGUUUUAUGUGGGUAUAAUUAUUAUUUGGGCAACCAAAAGGCAUAAUUUUCUAAACCGCUAAUCUGUCAACAUGUUUGAGUAAAAAUGAUUAAAAUCUGUUCAGCUUUAAGUAGGUCAAAAGGGUGUUUUGUAAACAUUAACAAAUUGUCCUGUUAAAUCCAGCUUGAAGUAAAAUACUGUCUUCAUAGUGAGAUAAUACAACAGCCAUGAUAAUGACAUUGGGAAAUCACAAAGCCACAGAUUAGGAUUUUCAGUAACCAGAUUUAUGCGUGAAGGAGUGAAGUCAUGGUCAGGAAUGUAAAUGGCGGAGUCAUUCAAUUACUGCCAUGCCCUUUCCUGGGAAAAGUCCCCAGCCGUGAAGAGGUUAAUUGUUUUUGAAUCUCCAUCCAAGGGGAGAAAAUGGGCGAACGGGAGGGAUAAUUGAGCCGCCGAUAGUUGAGUGGAUUAUGGAUUACUGCGCCUUUCCAAAGGAGAAAAGAAAAAGGAGGUGAACGAGAGAUGAUGCAGAGGAGGAGAAAAAGGGAAAGGAGAGAGUGCGUGAAAGGACCUGUGUUGUGGAUGUAGCCGCAGGGGUCGUCUGGUCUUCUCAAGGAAGAGAGGGAGAUUUUCAAUCCUGUUUAGCCCCGCGAGGUGACCUUUGACCCCUCGCAUGCCCCUCCCUGCUCCAGGUGCAAGCCCUCACUGCUAGCAGCUCACACACAGACACGCAAGCUACAGGCUAAUUUUUCACACGCUCUGCGAGGCACUGGGGGGAAACGUCGUACGAAAAUGUGGAUCCUUUUUGACAUUUUAACCCCCCUGCUUCUUUUUCAUUCUGCUGCGGGAGGUUAAAGAUCCAAGCCGGCCUGUUGGAGUAAGAGGGUGGGGGGUGCUGUGAUAGCACAAGGCCUCUUUUCUUUUUUUUCCCCCUCUCUGUUAUAUUUCUCCCCAAGAAAAUGGAUGAGUGUCUUUAAACUGGGGGAAAAAAGGAUGAUCUGACAUGGUGCAAUAAUCACAGGAGUGUUAAUCAGAGGGAUGUCAUGUAUAAUUACUACAGUGUUUGAUAACGCAACGACAAAACCACCUCAGGCCAUGAGCGAAAGUUUCCCAAUGCUAUUAAUGGGCGUUAAUAAAAUUCAAGAAACCCCGGAUGGAACGAGCCCUUCUGCAUGGCCCGCUGGUUAAAGCACUGUAAGGUUAAUGAACCAAUUUACAUACUUUCUGCUGCCAUCUGGGAGGAGUGACAAGGCAGAUGCUGCCUAUUCUGCACUGUUGUGUUGUGCUGUUCAGCACGGAGGAAUGUGUCAGGUCCACGGAGGUCUGAGCACAUUUUUACAUAAAGCCUGUGGUCAGAAACAAUCAUGGAUGAGCUGUAAAUCAAUGCUGCUGAAAGGUCUAGACUGAGCAUCCACAAGACUGCCUUUGUGUGGUAUUUAACCUGAUCCAGUCCAAUCCAAAUGGUGAAACCAUGAGACCUUCUCCUUAGGUGAACACGAGAAGUGGUUGGUAUCAAAUAUGGCCUCCAAGCUUAAGCUAUUGUUCUCGACAAGAUGCGAUGUUUAAGCGUGGAUUAUACUCUGACCCCUCCCCGUUAGAAGAAGAAAUGUGGGUAGAAGGGAGUCAUCAGCCCCUAAGGUGAUGAGAAACUCGACAGGGGCGAUCAGCAAGAAUCAUGAUCUCUGGGACUUGGAGGGGGAAAAAAGGAUUAGCGUCCGUCCACCUCUCUGCCAUCCUCAUUGGGGUGAUCACGUUACAAAUAGAGCAUCCUCGUAGUGCUCCCUUCGCGGAGGAACACAAUGAGGUCUGUCGGCGAUCAAUAAAGCAGUGUGAAAGCGGGGGGAUAUGCUCAGAAAAAUCAAAGGCGCUGGCUGGCAUGGCCAUCAUCUGCUGGAAUCAGAUAAGGGGAGCGGGGCCUCGAAGGGAAGGUUCCUCAGCCCCAGGGCUGCUCGUCUUGACAGAUUCCCCUCCUACUGGCACACAUGCAGACUGAUUUCAUCUAAAAAACCAAAACAUUUCUGCAUCUAUCCGAUCUUUCUGAAAAUGUAAGAACAGCUGAAGGGCUGGAUGGGUAAAAUGGAGAGUAAUAUAUAAUCCCCGCAGCGUGUUUGGGGUGAAAAUACGCAGCUAUUUCUCUAACCCCUCUGUUGUCCUCCAUGGGUGAUGGCUUUUACCUCAUGCUUCACUUACACGAUUUAAAGAAAAUAAAAUCACCCCGGUUUUUGGUUUGACAAUGUGUCAGAGCUGGUGCGAGUGUUUGUCUCAGAUUAGCUCUUUGUGCCGCUAGGAAAGAGAGAAAAUGGGGUGGAGGGGGGUCAGGGAUGGGAGAACAAUACUGCUGCGAUCCCAGUUGAAAGAAAUCAUUUGCACAAUUUUAUGAAAGCUGUAUUUGUCCGGUCGGAUGGUUCUAUCAAAGCCUAACAGCCACGGUGGAGCGUGAUUUAAAUGACGGGCGAGCUACAAAGCCGGCAGGAUGUCGGGUUAGAGUCAUUUCUCAGCUGAACGCUCUCCAGGUAAAGGCAGAUAAUGCGCUCUCAAGUUUUUUCUUUCUCUUUCUUAAAGAAGUCUAAUUUCUACAGAUGGCUCUGAGCUGACACCAGCGCUGCCAAAGCUGCUGUUCUCAGAGCUAAGCUUGUACAACAUUUAUGUGGUGAAGAUGAAAAGACAUCAUCCCUGAAAACCUAGCUUAGGAGAGCACAGAUUUUCUUCAAAGUAUUAUCAGUUUUUUUUCUAAUUUCCUCCUGUCUUCCCGUCUCCUCUAAGACCCUCCAUAUUUCUGACUAUUAACACUUUAAAUACCGGGGAGCUGCUUGCAAAGGUCGAGAGUUCAGGUAAGUUGAAAAGCAAAACUAUGACGACUUGAAUGCGUUUUCUUAGCCUGGAACCUGCUGUUAACUCGCAGUGCAGAUAAAAGAAGAAGAUUUGCCUCUACCCCUUUCUGUUGUUGUCUUCACUCUCAGAACCCCCUCCAGUACUUCCUGGUGACUCACUUCUUUCCGAGCCAUUUAUGCUUGAAAACUUCCUGAAGAUGAACCAAACAUAUUCUGGGUUUUUAUCGUCGAUGUGGGACCAUUGGGCAUAAUGAAGUUCUGUUUCCCAGCAUGAGUUCGGGAGGCUCAUGAUUACAAAUGCUCUUCUCAUUGUCUCCCAUCAUCUCCUGCCUAAUUGAAGACAAUAUAACGAGACAAUGGGGUCUCGCUCAUCACUCUGCAUCAAUGGCAUGCUCUUUGGAACGUGCCAGUCUGUUAAAUGUGGGGAGGGGUUGUGUGUGUGUCUGUGUGGAUACUUGAAUGCACUCGAGCUUGUUUAAUUUGGACCAAGAAGAUGGACAAUUAAACUACAGCUCCCGGGGGGCCUGUUCAUUUUUUGGUCAGCUUCGCCACUUCUAGGCCGCCCGCCCAUGUAAACGCUCCUGGAUGUGUCUGGGUCAUGUGUAAGGGGGCUAGAGUGAGGAGGCGGGAAGGGAAUUGGGGUGGGGGUUUGUCAAUGUCGGGGUUGUCUCAGAUGAUUAGGACAGCCAAGUGGGGAGAGUCCCUCAGUGCCUGGCCCCCUUCACCUCCCUAAUAUGCUCUGAAUAAGUCCCCCUCUGCUGUGCGUUUGUUGUGGGCUUCAGCGGGAGGUGGGGGGGAUUAUGUCUGGCCAUGGUUUAGGAGUGUUUGUCAUCUGCCCCCUCGAGGCCUGCACCGGCUCCUUUGUCUGAGCGUGAGGCGUUGGUACAAUGUCAAAUCACACAAUGUGCCCCUGCAACUGGGGCCAUCUCGGGUGAGAAACUGACACAGGAUUUCAUGUCCUGAUUUUUCUUUUUCAGAUACUUAGUUUGAGGGGUAAGAACAAAUACUUACAAAAAACAUACUUUUAUUUCGUAAUGUAUUAUUCUUAAUCCAGUCAAUACUCAUUAACAGCCAGCACAUCAUCAUUGUUUCUGAAUCUAUCCAUACAGAUACAUUUAGCAUUUGUUGCAUCUGUGUACAUGACAAAAAUGAGAAUUAUUAUCAGUUAAAAGCAGUUUUUAAAUGGAAAAAGUGGAAUUAAAAACAAGUGCUGACAUUCAUCAUUCAUGGGGAGAAAAAGUUAACAGCAGAAGAGGAAGCAAUGCUCAUUUCUCUUCAGAGAAAAUAAUUAACCAGAAUGCUUUGCAGCCACAGCUUGCAUCUCAGCUAAUCUACGAUUGCAAGUGUGAGAAAUCCAUCAAACUCUUUAACAGCUUUUUUCUCCUAAUUUGAACAAUGAGUCAUGAUGGCAUUGUUUGUUCCCCAGUUUUACUACGCUUUCACUAAUGUUCUCUUCGGGGUGUGUGAAGGAUGUCGAAAAGCUUCUUGAAACAUAAGGACGCCAUUAAAAGAAGUAUACAACAUUAUUUGCAACACUUGACAGCUGAAUAACGCUUGAAAUUCAUUAAACAAGAUCAGUGAAGAAUUAUCCUGAAUCAAGGGUUUGUACCCACUUCAUGUAUAUGCGACUCCAUUCCCGGUCCCUGCAAAGUGUGUAAUUCAGUUUCAUGUUCUCAAAGGUGUUUCUGUGGCUCCACACAGUGCAUCUCUGUAUGAAAUUUGGAAGAAAGAAUCAUUCAUCUCCACACAAUUGCUAUCAAAGAGGGCACAGAACCCAGGCCAAAUAUCACAAGUUACCCUGAGAAUAACACGAAUGUCCUCUCUGCAUACUGAGAAGGCGAAACCUCUGAAUGACUGAUAACAGCUCUGGAGGAUUUAGACGCUGUGGGAGAAGCAGCUUCUGUAGCUUUGCAUUCAAGUCACUUGGCCAUUUGGAGCACCAGGAAAUGACACACAUUCCUCCUUCCCAGUAACAAAAUAAACCCAAAAUCUAGCUUCCUACUAUUUCAGCACAAUUAAGUCGACAAUUUGAGUGAUCCACGCUAUAAAUUGUCAUUUUUGAUUAUAUGGUGUCUGCACUUUUCUGCUCUUCUGGGAUCGCUUUAUCAAAUUCAGGCUUGUGAGUAAAAGCAUGCUGGUUUUUCUCCAAAAUAGUACAAUGCUCUGCUAGACAUUUGGUAUUCAACAUUAUGUUGUUUUUCAGAGUCUGAAAAGUAGACAGUCAGACAGGCAGAUUUCAGAUAUAGGCAUACGAUCCAUAUGACAGUUGACCCAUAAAAUACAACAUCUGCCCUUCCAUGUUAGCUUGUGGAAAAACAAAAUAUGGUAGCCUAAUAAACAAAUAAAAGAAAGCGAAGAGAUUAAGUAUCAAAAUUAAAUAAAACAUGCAGAAAUUAGGAUUGAACCUGUGCAAAUAUUAAACUAUACCUAUCCUAUAUUUGAAUUAAACCUCUAUAGAAGAAUUUACAUGUGGUCAUGAAACACUGAUUUUGAUAGUCAUGCCUCUUUAUGACCAACAAAAGCAAACAUCAGAGUAAGAUCCACCUUUUCUUGAUAUCUUAAUAUCAAGGUAGUUGUCAGGAAAUCAGGAAAUAUCCCCUACACAUCUACAGAACAAUAUCAAUAAAGAUAAAAAUCACUGCUUCGUCCACUAGGGGGCACCAAAAUCAACACAGACCAAAAUUUCCUCAUAGUAGCUUUAACUUUUGGUGUUAUAAUUCAUUUUGCUUGACUGCAAAACACCUGUUUGCUUUCGGUUUCUCUCAUUUCACACCUGCUACUGACUCAUUUUCGUAUCACUUAUUGACUCAUCUCAGACUAAUUACUUUUCCAGUUGCUAAUAAUGCACACACGCCAUUGGCCUGUGUGUUUUGGAGAUGAAUAAGUACGCUACACGUGAGGUUUGAUGACUCCCACAAAGAAGUUUUCAAUUCCAAAAUCCUCCGCACACCCUUCUCUGAGCGGCGAUCGUGAUAUUUCGCAUACAGCUGUGCUCAGAGUGUCGCACAUCGUCGGAAAUAUUUCAAACAAUGAAAAUAAUUGAAGUGCUCUUGAACCGCAUAUCCUGCUUUUAUUUCAUUUUUAAGUAUUUCUCACUUAUUUGAACGUGCCUGAAGGUUUAUUAAAACCAUUUUCAUGAAGUUUUGUGGAUAAUCCCUUCGAGGUUUUUCACAGCUGUGGUUUUAGGAGUGAAGAUAGACACAUCGGUGGACGUUAAUGGUUGUUAGGGUGAGGGUGUGAGUAAUUACAGUUGUGUGUGUGUGUGUGUGUGUGUGUGUGUGUGUGUGUGUGUGUGUGUGUGUAAUUGAGUUUUCCAGCAGUCUCGGAGAGGGUCUCAUCUGACCAGCGGAAAUGUGUUCUGUGGUGUGCUGCUAUUUUUAGACCCGUGUUAUAUUGUAGAUGAGGGAAAAGGGUUGGUUUAUCAAAGCCUCAGAAAGAUUGUUGCGCAUAUUAAUCACUUCUAAAAUUAGUCCCGCCACCUCGGACAACCCGGAGGAAAGUUGAUAAAACUCUGAAAACUGAUUGAAUUUUGGUUGCAGCAGGAAAAAAAUAAUCAAAAACUCUUCAGUCACAUCUUACAGACACACAAAAGAGGUCAGAAAAGGUUGGGGUUAAAUCUCAGACAAAUCUAUCAGACUAUGCAAAUCAUCCUUCAGAGAGAGUCUGACUUUUUUCUGUUACCAAAAAGGAAAAUCACGCGGGGAUGAUCUCUAUGAGGGCAGGAAGCCUUGAAGGUUUGCAUCAUGUCUGCCACGUUCUCCCCGAGGGUAUUCUUCUAGCGUCCUAACAUGCAAAGACACCCACACACACACACACACACACACACACACACACACACACACACACUAAUGCGAGCUACCGUUUUUUCCUCACAGCCCUGCAGGAGUCUGUCUUCAUCUGUCCUAUUGAUUGAUGAAGCAGGCACAGCGGGGCGUCCGAGGGAGGCAGAAGUCUAAAGCAAGACUGUGAGCUGCAUCACAGUCGUACACUCACACACAUACACACACACACACACACACACACACAAUCACUGUCUCUGUCAUGUUCUCCCUGUCUGUCACAGCAGCACUCUGCAAUGACACAUGAGUGUACACACACGCAUACUGAGAGACAUGACACACACAGCAGUGUUGGGGUGACAGGCUUCACAUCAUGGCUCACAAACACACCACAUCACACACGCACAAAUAAUGAAUUAGCGUGGUCCGGCUGCGCCUGAGCCGGACAGGCGUUUUCUAUAAACAUAAUGUUUGUAAAUUAGUCGGGGUUAAUGAUCCGAUUCCGUCUGAGCUGCCGUGUGUGUGUGUCUGUGUGUGUGCGUGUGUGUUUUUGGCUAAGGGGUAAAGGCGCUGCUCUACCGUGCUGUCUCCCUCACUUCCAAAUGCCCCAGGCGCCAUUACAAGAGCAGUAUUUAUGCUAUUAGAGAACUGGCUUUGCCACGCUAGCUGUGCUACCAGAAAGCUAAAAUUAUGUCUCGACUAACCUCGCUGGGCAGGUCCGGUAUUUUCUUUGCAGAAUUGAGAAAUUACAAGUUGUGUACUUUAGGGCUAUUUUUGCGAGACUUCUGUUGGAAUAUUACGCACGUUAUUUCUGAGGCACGUAAACGUGAAAGCCAGAGAAUUAAGGUUUUGUGUGUGCGUUCAUUGAAAGCAGCAAAAAAAAAAAAAAAAUCCAGACUCUGAUUUUUUCUCUCCAUCUUACUCCAAUGUUUAAAAUUAACUUCCUUACCCAAACCAGAAAUAGUGGUCUGCAAACAACUUUACCUUCACCUCCCAGUCAAGUGGAGUCGAUGGGUUCAGUGAGGGUGUAGCCCCUCCAAGCCCCACCCGCCUCCUCUCAUAAAACGGGCUGAGAAACUUCUCUCACGUGGUGCUGAAUGGACAGAAAAGCAGAGGAAUGAAAGAGAGAAUGACUGAAAAGUAACUGUAAGGCCUCGUCUCGCUCUUCCAAAAGUGCCCCCCCCCCCCUUUAGUGUAUUUUUUCCCCUACACAUACCCCCCUCAACACCACCCUCCAUCCUCAGUCCCCUCCCUUCCUCCUCUUCUCUCUUCUCCCCCGGCGUUCCUGUUGAGGCAUGCCUCCAUCCCCGCCAACCAGUAUCAUCCGGGGCAGGGCGACGGGGGCAAGAAGAGAUGAAGGGAGGGGGUGGGGGCAAACAAAGGAGCACUGUUGCUGCCUCGCUGAGGGUUUUUUGAGGGAGGGUCGGGGUGCAGACGGAGCGAGAGUGUGACUGAGGAGGUUUUAUCAUUAAGAAUAGAGAUUAAAAUGAAUGGGAGGGGAGCGGGGGUGUCUGUUCUGUUCACAGUAAUAAAGAGGACAAGCAGUGCCAGUCUUUUUUUUUUUUCACACACACACAAACACACAGUUUGCACUCAGUUGGUGCGAGUGUGAAAAAUAGAGGCGCGAUCGGGGGGGUUAUUUCAUUGUUUUGUGGCCAUUGUACAAUAUUUGCUUAACCCUCAUGCUUUAUCAGUGCAGCUGUACAAUACAAAUGAGAUGGGUGGAAAGUGUGUGUUUGUGUGUGCGCGCCAUGGCGGCUGUCACAGCUGUUAGUAAUUUCAUCAGUGUACUGUAGGACACCCCCUUCGUAGACACGUACACACACACACACACACACACACACAUAAAUGCUGUCAAUUUACGAAGCAGUAAAGCCAUGAUGAACUCAUUCUUCCAGCAGCGUAAUUACACAUCAACUUAGGAUAGCCAAACAGGAAUUGAACAAUAAAGUGGACACAUUUACCCGCCAACAUAGGUAUUUCAAACUGUAAAUGGCUACAUUAGAGCUAUAUGGGAGUGUAAUAAUCUUCCAUUUGCUGCUGGAUGCCAGUCAGUGCUCGCCACCCCCCUCACUUGAGCCUCCUGCUGCCUUACUUAAAGCUACUGUAGCAUAAAUGCACCAGUUGGCACACUUUUGAAAUAUCCCAGUUUUGCUCCAUUUUCCAGUAAAAGUGUCAGUCUAAACUUUGAAUCAGGCUUCCAUGCGGGAAUAUGCUUCUUUAGGUCAUAGACCGCAUUGAGUCGUAAUCUCUGCCGCUAUCUUGUUCACACAUUCCUUCCACAUGCCGAGUAAAAACCUGUUUUGAAAGAUAACUGAAUUUUAGGGGCAAUAACUGGAAUCCCACAUGCCCCCAGACUCUAUGAAUGGAGUGUUUUAUUUCUUUAUUUUUCUUUAUGUGUGUGGUGCCUGUAGAGAUAACACCAUUCCUCUCAAACAGUUGGGUAAUGGUUUGUUUCCCCUCGCUGUCUUUUUCCAUUUCAGGUCAUGAAAGGAGUCUGCAAGAGAAGGAGGAGAAGAAGAAGAAACAGAGUGAGCAUUAGCAGCAUUAGCCUUCAGUGCAGAAGGGAGGAAGGAAAGGAAGCAAUGAAGAAAAGACAGGAGUGAUGAAAGAGAGGUAAGAGAGCUCUGUUUGCCCCGGGGUUGAACAUUGUCUUGUGUCUGUCUCUCCUCUGUUGCCCUUCACCUUGAAUGCCUGACUCAGCUGUGAGCCUGGGUGGGUUUGGUGUUUGCAUGCACGCAUGUGAGUGUGUUUUUUGUUACGUUUGAAUGUGACUUUGUUUGAUUUUGUGUGAGUGUGUUUGUUCCUGGCAUCGAGCCGCAAGCCGCCAGGUGAGGAACAACCAUCCUGCCUGAAUCACCUGAUUCAACCCUAACUUCUUUAUCGUCUUUUUCUCUUUGUUUUUUGUCUUUUUUCUUUCACUCCCAUUUUAAGUGGGUAAACUUUUUAGUUUCAUGGUAAGGUUGCCUGAAAAUAAAAAUUUUGACUGAAUAUCUACCAUUUUAGAUUGCAUAUGUUGUUUUAGGGCCGUCAAACUGCAAAUAUUUGUUCUUGUGAAUAAUCACUAAUCAUAUUUUCAAUUGCAAAUUUGCAUUCAAGACAGUUUUUUUUUUAAGUUCACACAAACAAUUUGAUUCUAUCCAUUUUAGCUUUACUAGCAUUUCUUAUGCCGCAUACUGAGCUGCUCCUGUCUGCUUUGCUCAUACAUGGUGGCUAAAACUAAAAGUACCUCAAUGUUAAUUCCAUUUGACGUUAAGUGAAUAAAUGUGACUUUCAAAAUCUCAGCGUCCUCUACGACAACAGCAGGAAGCAGGAAGACUAUGCGGCAGCGUAACUACAGUGUGCUUAAAGCAUCAAAAUAGCAUUCGAUUACAAAAAUGCUUACACAUGAAUGACCUAAAUCGCAUUGUAGGUAAUACAGUAAUGCAGACAGCCUAAGUUGUUUUGUAAAGAAGUGGUUAAACUGGCCAAAAAUCAUCCUUAAACAUUCUUACAUAUGGAAAUAGCAUUGUCCAAACCAAACCCUGAUCGUAACUGUACUCAUCCGCAUACAUACUUCUCCUUAAUCCUCUUCCUGUUUACAUAUCAGUACCCAAAAACUUUCCCCUCUUGAGGCUGAAGUAUUUUCUCCUCAUCCAUUUAUAUAGUUAAAAUUCAGAGUGUCAGGGAUACAGGGAGCCAGAAAUAAAACUAUUACCUUGGAAAAGCGCAUCGCCAAAAGGCAAAACACAGGAGUUAAAACUGGGAAAAACGCCACCGUAUUGUCUCGGCCGUGUUUCCCUAAGUAAGCGGUUCCUCAUAGAUUCGCUCUCUCUCUCUUUCUCUGUGUGAGCCCGAGAACAGCACUAAAUCAUUUUCCACCGCGAAGGCACAGCAAGAAUGGCUGUCACCAUACUCAGAAACAGGGGACGGUUUCAGAGGAGACACAAGGAGAGGAAAAGAAAAUGUUGUUUUUCUCAGUUCUCUUCAGACUCCCUUCUUAUGAGACUCUGUUCAACCUCAACCUCCCACCCAGAAGUUAAUAGCAAUGGCUUUUUUUUCUUCGUUUUCCCCCAAAGCCGUUUUUAAAUCUAAUCCAGAGAGUUUUACAUACACUUCAUAUACAUAUACUUUUACUUUAUCAUUAUUUUAUCAUGGGCUCUUAAACAUGCAAGUGUAGCUUAGUUUCUUUUUAGCUUGGGUGAAUAAAUCUGUAACUCUCCUCCUUUUCCAACACUAUUUUUCCUCUCCCCCAGUAACACUCACAGUAUGACCUCUACCUCACAUUAACUUAGUAGGAGACAGCCCAAAUUCAAUUCAGCUCAUUUCAGUUCACCUCAACUCACUUCAUAACAACCCAGUCGAACUCAAUUCUCCUUCAAACCCUCCCUCAUGUCUCGCACUCUUGCUCAUUUAUUUUCAGUCUGACUGAACUGUGCAAUCCUCGGUAUCUUCUUACAUUUUAAAUCUCUGCAGUUCUCUCUUUCGAGUUCAAGAAGGUACUCAAUCUUUGGUCGCACGUCCGAGUCUUUUUCCAUAACAAAAAAAAAAAAAAAACAGGAGAUGAUGAAAAUGACCAACACUUGGAGGACUGUUUGGUUGUAGAGGAUUGGGAAACUAUUCCCAGCAUUGAUAAAUCUAUUUUUGGAGUAUUGCGCAUUUCAGAUCUCGGUUUAAAUCACUGUGACUGGACAAGAAAAUGUUGUUUUUGUGAAAGAAACGGUUCCGAACUCCUUUGAAGAAAAAUUUCCUUCUUAUCUUUCAUCAUUCUGAAAUGGAUGUGCUAUAUAUCAAACCAAGUGGGAUUACUGGAGUCACAUGUUGUUGUACAACCACACACACAACCCCCAUUGUUUUGGGCCUUGUUCAAAUGAUGCAAGCGUAGUCUGGGGAAGAAAGAAAGGAAAAAGGUGGAGGAUGUUGUAAGCAAGUAUCCAGGCAUGCGACUGCUCUGUCUUCUUCUCCCUCCUCCGUUUUUUCUUUUCCUCCCUUCUCGAGUGUGUCUGUCCUCGGCUCCAGAGGAAGACUCUCUUUCAGGAGCAGCCAAGUCUGCCUAAGCUGGACUUAAAAAGCUGCGAGAAGUGGUUCUCGUUUUUGGUGUCCGUUUGUGUAUGGGGAGGCGGGGUUGAAGGCUGAAGCCACAGUGUGUCACACGGUUUCAUAUUUCAAGAAGCACGUAUGAGAAAAUGACAGGCAAAUGAGUCACUCCGUCAAGUCACAUUGAUUCACUGCAAGACUCAGGGACAAGGCGAGUAAUUGUCAGUUUCACGCUCACGCUAAAUAACAGGCGACUGAUGGACGAUGGGUUACAAUGAUGGGGUAAAAUCAGCAGGGGAACUGGUAUAAAAAGCCUGAUGGACAAGUGUCGAAAAUGGCAACACUUGUGUCCGCACAAAGGGAAACAGAGAACAAUUGAGUGCUGCUCGUUCCUCCAAUCAACCGGCGGAGAGCUGCAGAUCAGAAUGAGAGCCUUUAUUGAGUUUGAAGACUCAGCGAGGGAUUCAUAAGCAUGAGGGGGCAGCGAUAGAGAAAUUAAAACAGAUAAAGGAGGAUAUCAAAGAGUGUGGGAACCAACAAAAAAAAGGAAAAAGUCUAUAAUGUUGGCGAAUAUUUCAAAGUGAGAAUUAUCUGCAGAUAGAGGGAACCGGGAAGGAGCGAGACAGUGUAGUAGAAGAAGAAGAAAAAGGGGGUGAGGGCCAAUGAAGCGAUGCCUCUAAUGUCUUUAUAAGGUCAUAAAAUUCUGCACUUCCUGGCCUCUCUCUAAUUGCUGCGAGGGGAAGAGACAGGAUGAAGGAGGAAGGGGGGGCUCAACUCUACCUGCCUACAAAAUGAGGCCUCUAAAUCCUUGCUGCUUGGCCUAGGGGGCUUUCUUUUGGAUUGCUUUGCCAGCAACAUGGAUGCAAAGAGAGCGUGACUUGAAAAAAAGUCUACAUUGAGGUUUUCUUUAUCGCUCUUUUGAAUGAGAUUAAAGUUUAGAAGGAGAGAUAAAUGCAAAGACAGAUAAGAGGCAGUAGGAAGGCAAGUAGAUAGGGAAAGGCUCUGUGAUUUAAUGAUCCCUUCAAAGUUCCCUUUGCAUGGAAAUAAAGGUGAAUGCACAAUGACAGAGUUAAAGGGAAAGAGGACUUGAGGCUAUUCCUCACAAUAACUACUUGAAAAUAAAGCUUUGGGAAGAACACACAGAGGGAAAAAAAAGCAGAGGGUGAGAGGAUUUUAUUGACUCAACAGGAAUCAAGCGUAGAAAUGGCUACGCUUCCCCAAGGAGCCGUAUGCUGAACUCUCGAAAAUGUGAAAAGUAACGCUUGCCAUCACUGGAAAAGAAAACAUUUUCAUUUCAUAAACUGCUUGUCUAAGAGAGCCUGCUCCUGACUCUAACCCCUCGAGUCAGCACAGUAGAGCCUUCAGAGGCAGAUACGCCGAUGUGAGCUAAGAGAGCACAAAUUUACUCGGCUUUACUGCCCCUAAAACAUGCGCACAUGGACAUGAAUGGAGGAGCAGCUAAUACCAGUCUAUGGAUCGAAGAGUCUUUUUGUCUUUUUAUAUUUAAGUGAGUAUUUUUUUUCCAAUUCUAGACAUUUAAACUAGAGCACAAACACCAAAAGUCAAAUUAAACACCAAACUUUGAACAAUCUGAGUCACAAUUUCCAACAUUGUUGCUGUUGUGUCAUUGAGUAAUAACUGUACUCUUUAAUGUUGUUCUGCACCAGUGUGCCCACGCAUCUCCAUUGAAAGUGAAUGUCAAAUUUAGGCAUCAUGAUUUUGUAUCCUGGUGUUUAUUUUUAUCUUUGUCCCUGACUUGUGCUGACUUCAUGAGCUGUGCGCCCAACUUUUAGCUUAUUUUGAUGCUGAACGUUGGGGACGGAGGGGAGAGGAGGAGGGGGUGCAUUGUUACUCAACUUGCGGCACUGUAGGAGCUGUAUAACAGUAGCUGGGUUUGGUUUUAUCAGCAGCUGAGAGAAUGAAAGGAGUCAAAGGCAGCCCCCUAAGCUUUCCAUAAUUCGUCCCGCGAGGAGACAAAGGCCCGCAUUCACUGCUGGGUGUCGAUAAGACCUAUCAUUAGUCUGCCAUUGGAGGUAUUACAAACACACACCAAUACACACACCAACACACACAGAUACGCAGAAUGCAGAGAGGUACUUAUUCCUGCACCCAUUCUCUAUCACUCUCUCUUUUUCCACAUACACACGAGUAAAUAUUCAUAUGCGUGCCAGAGGAUGGAGAGAGGCAGCCAAGCUCGACUGAAUCGAAUAAAGACAGGGGAGUGGACCCCUGCUGUUUUCCCAUCACAGCAAAAUUCACUCAGUUUCACAUGUUACACACUCUGCCAUACCUGGUUUUCAUGUAUGUUUUGACAAAAUAAAAAGUAUCUCGUGUCACAAAGGAUGCACAGAACCCUGACAUUGAUGUUUUCACGCACCUAUCCGAGCAAUCUAUAUAUUAAAGUCUUUACCUCACGAGAAAAAAAGCGACAUUUAUUGAAAGAACUUUGAGGUUUUCUGCCUGUGUCAUUCUUGCACUGCAUAUGUUUCACUUGGCGGCACAAAAUUGGCAUCACAGGCUGUUUUCUGUGCUGCAAAAACGGCACGAUUUAGUGUCAUGUUCUGCAAAAUAUUCCAGCAGUUCAGCAUCCGAGCAGACCGUGUAAAGACCAAAGGAGGUUGGCAGCCGUCUCAAUGAUAGAAGUCCUUGUUUACAGAAAUAAUCUGAGUUAAUGUAGUAUUGACUUAUUGAUUAUAAAAUGCUACAUGUAGCACAUUUACUUAACAAGACAGGAGUGAAAUUAGGUUGCAAGAGAGAUAAGAGGAGGUGUCCUAUUAGAUUCUUGCUGUGUGUGCGUGGGUGUGUAUUUGCACUCAGGGUGCGUGCACACCGCUGUCUGGGUCCUAAGUAGAUGAUGGACCGUAGCUCGUAUUCCCAUUCCCUCUCAUUAGCUCUGCCCCCCCGAGAAUAUAUGAGGUUACUUACCUUCCCGUGCACCCGAGUUCCCGGCCAAACGCCAAGCGUUAGCUGAGGGUCAUUAGCCACGCUGCUUGGAACAAAUGGCCUCCGAUAGCAUCUCAGCUAAAAUACAACAAGAGCAGAUUAACCCCUUGAUCUUUGGAGGAUAGCACAGUGAGAACAUGAGGAAGGAAGAAAACAGAAAAGAAACGAUGACAGUUUUUUUUUCAUUCUGGCAUGUUCUGCUUUAAAUGAGCCUUUCCCUGCAUGUUAGACUUUAAGAGUCCUCCUUUUUUCGGCGCUCUCAUUGCGGCUCAACAUCACAGUUGUUUGCCUGAAAACAAAAACUGCAGAGAGAAAAGUGGGCAGAGGAUCAAAGCCCAAGGAGGAUUUGUCUGGCAGAUAGUCGCUGGGGUCCUGCCUGUUUAGACUCCCUCCUCCUCUCUUUCUAUCCGCGUCUCUCUAUCUGCACACCACUAGGUUACCCCCUCACAACACUGCCAGCUUGAAAAUUGUAGAUCAUGAAAAGAAGAGUGCAGUCACAACAACCUCCUCCACGAAG